Solanum tuberosum (potato) is the source of this 185-nucleotide long non-coding RNA. RefSeq lists it as uncharacterized. The transcript has 2 exons. NCBI's taxonomy places the organism in Eukaryota, Viridiplantae, Streptophyta, Magnoliopsida, Solanales, Solanaceae. The record is from RefSeq and is a predicted model, not a curated record.
GAGUGAUGGAUGCAGAGCAGAAUUUAUAGGCUUGACCUCAUGGCCUAAUAUUAACAACAUUUCCCUUUCUGAUAUUCAUCAAGCAAUUCUCUAUGGAUUUGAGUUGUAUUAUUCUUCGUGGGGUUUAUUGGAAUUGAUUUCCGGUGAGGACUCAAGCCUUUUAUCUACAUAUACUUUUAAUUCUC